GGCCUGGUAGCCAAGUGGUAAGGCAUUCCUCUGCAAAAGGAAUAUGCGGCGGUUCAAUUCCGCCCCAGGCCU
This 72-nucleotide transfer RNA is filed under the name Minisyncoccota bacterium. RNAcentral describes it as "tRNA-Cys". It matches the Rfam family "tRNA". Rfam says of the family: Transfer RNA (tRNA) molecules are approximately 80 nucleotides in length. Lineage: Bacteria; Bacillati; Minisyncoccota. The record is from RNAcentral. RNAcentral also lists the same sequence under 1 other name.